ACUCCUACGGGAGGCAGCAGUAGGGGAAUCUUCCACAAUGGGCGAAAAGCCUGAUGGAGCAAUGCCGCGUGAGUGAAGAAGGUUUUCGGAUCGUAAAAACUCUGUUGUUGAAGAAGAACAUGCGUGAGAGUAACUGUUCACGUACUGACGGUAUUCAACCAGAAAGCCACGGCUAACUACGUGCCAGCAGCCGCGGUAAUACGUAGGUGGCAAGCGUUGUCCGGAUUUAUUGGGGCGUAAAGAGAAUGUAGGCGGUUUUAUUAAGUUUGAAGUGAAAGCCCUCGGCUCAACCGAGGAAGUGCUUCGAAAACUGGUAAACUUGAGUGCAGAAGAGGAAAGUGGAACUCCAUGUGUAGCGGUGGAAUGCGUAGAUAUAUGGAAGAACACCAGUGGCGAAGGCGGCUUUCUGGUCUGUAACUGACGCUGAGAUUCGAAAGCAUGGGUAGCAAACAGGAUUAGAUACCCUGGUAGGAUAGCG
RNAcentral lists this ribosomal RNA (478 nucleotides) under uncultured bacterium. Its description in RNAcentral is "bacterial SSU rRNA". It matches the Rfam family "Bacterial small subunit ribosomal RNA", at positions 335 to 801 of the family's 1533-position model. The record is from RNAcentral.